GACAGAGGUCCCGAGCGUUAGGCGGAAUCACUGGGCUUAAAGCGUGUGUAGGCGGCGGCCUAAGUACCUUGUGAAAUCCCACGGCUCACCCGUGGAACUGCUCGGUAUACUGGGUCGCUUGAGCCACUUAGGGGCUACCGGAACAAAUGGUGGAGCGGUGAAAUGCGUAGAUAUCGGAAGGAACAUCAGUGGCGAAAGCGACUUCCUGGACCAAUACUGACGCUCAUGCACGAAAGCGUGGGGAUCAAACAGG
Molecule: ribosomal RNA, 253 nt
Filed under: uncultured bacterium
Lineage: Bacteria
Description: partial 16S ribosomal RNA
Rfam family: Bacterial small subunit ribosomal RNA
Source: RNAcentral